GGCUCCCGACGAGGCGCAGCUGCGCCCGGCCGGCCGCGGCCCCGCGGCACCUGGGAGUCGUUGCCUCCUUAGCGCAGCCGGCCUCGUUAGGGACGGCCCGGGGCUCUGACAGUUUGACGUGCGGACUCCGGAUCUGAAUUAGGGACUUAAAUUACACUUUAAAGUACAGUUUGUUACGCGCUUUUCCUUCUCGCCGCACUGUGGGAUUCAUCGAUAAGUUAAGUAAUUGUGCCAAUUCAAACGGGUCGCUUUGCAUCCGACGCGACCGGCGCGAUAGAGCGUCUCCCCUCCGAAGAACGUCCCCGGCCUUAACGGUUUCCAGGGGCCUCCGCUGGGUGCGUCUCCGCUCUGCUUUCCAUCGCCCCAAUUCCGAACAAAAGAAAAAGGGGGGAAAAAAUUAUUUAUUUGUUUAUUUAUUAAGAAAAAUAAGUCUUUUUAAGAUAAUAAGAAAAAUAAGGAACAAACGUGCAGACCUUCACUGCUCAGGGGGGCUACAAACCAAAGUAAAACUAGGGGCCGGCAAAAACAUGGUACUCCACAGUCUUAAUUUAACAAAACACAGUGGAACCCCCUGAAAUAGCGUGAAAUUCAGAAGCCUGUGGUCGGGCUGAAGCGUCGUGUGCUGGCCGGCAGAUGUUUGGAAAGGUGCUAAGAUGUAACUCUUAUUGUCCAUAGAAUUUGCUGUUAACCACUUGCAAGAUACAAAGUGACGGCCAGCUGGAUGAAAAGGAGAAUGUGUGUGAACACCCGGAACUGACAGACCCGGGACAGUGCAUGUGGCUUGAAGUGGGCACUGAGAGAAAGCUCAGACAAUGUAUAUACAUGCUAUUAACAUUCACAUUAAUUUCCACUGGGACACGACUUAAUUAAGUUCAGGAACGCAUGCAAGUGUACUGUUCUUAUUAGAGGCACGGUCUGGAGAAGAUGGCCGGGGAGCUGAGCAUCAUUUCUACAUCAGCUGCUGAAGCGCCCACUAACUUUGGAUGUCGCCUAAACCUUCAGAUGGAAUCCUUGCAGGCAUUCCCGUGGGGAUCGGGAAAUUGCAGUAUGCCGGAACUACCGUUGCUGAUGUGGGGCGAGCGCUCUGAAGUGCACUUGGAGAAGAACGCAUUCCAACCCCGCAUAUAUGAAAAGUUUAAUAUUUUAGACAGCUAGAUGAAAUGCUGGGGUCUUGGUGCAUUUUGCUUUGGCGGUCCAGGCUUUUCAGCAUCUUAGGGAAAUGUUUGGAAAUGAAUUUUAUUUUCACAACUGUGGUACAAUUACAAGGCGGGGAUGUUUCACCCUUCUCACCGAGGUGCCCUUGGUGGUGGUGGUCUGUAAAUGGCUAUAGAACUGACAGAGAAGUCUGCAAGCAUUUUCUUCGGUUCUGAUUUUUAUUCUUAUUUGUUUUAACAGAGAGAUAAAAACCAGCAUUGUGCAUGUCCUUGCUCUGCGGGUUGGGGAUGUAUCGUUGUUGUUGUCGUUGUUUUCCUGGGAAGUAAAACAGGGUAUGAUAUUGGUAAUAAGGGCAAGUGGAUUUAUUGCUGAGCGAGUUGUACGCUGUUUGACAGAAAAUUCCUGAACUGAUCGGUGUUGGUGGAAGUUGGGGCUGCCUCCCGAUGUUUCCUGAGCCUUCUAUUUAGUUUGGAGUUCUGGGAAGUAUUUGUGGGCUUAAUCCAUUUACGCUUUUGAUAGGUAAAUGCAAGCCAUGAGUUACGGUAAAUUAUUGCUAAGAAAAGAUGAAUGGAAGAAUGGAUGUUUCAUUUUACUAUAUAUGCUGGGAAAGGUUGUUCUUUCUUUCAGCGUAUAACUCUGCUUUUCCUCGUACAACCUAUUUACAGGGUCAGACUUCUUAAUUUAUUUAUUUUUUUGUUUCUGUAUUUACUGUAAUUAAAGCCAAAGCAGACAACACUUCUUCAGUCUUCUGCAUUUACUGAGUGCCUUUAGCAAACACGCUGCAAGGCAUAGCCGUUAGAUGAGCAUUUCCAACCAUGGUGUGUAAAUGAGUUAUAAAAUACAAGCAACUCUAUAAAACAAGAAAAUCCUGAGUUAACAAAUAAAUGGUGUCCUUCCUAUAUCACGUAUAAGCUUUUUUCAUCCUUCUCGUAGGGUGGUAUGGUAUCUCGGAGCUCAAAAGGGAUUUUCGCUGUAGGGUCAGAGAUGGAAGGUGUCACAGUGAAGAACUCCUUCAAAUCGUGUAUAUAUAUAUAAAUAUAUUCCAUUUGAGGGCAUCUACAGCUCAGGAAGGAACACUUGAUGUGUACGUGACUUUUAAAAGAAACAGUGAAAUUGAAGAAAUGGGUUCCCCGCAGGCAGCUCUGCCUGGUGCCCGUUUGUGAGGUGAAAUCACCUAUGGGGCAACUCUGCCCUGAAGGGACGGGCGGCACUGCCCGCGAGAGGGGCGAUGACCUUAGGUGACUCCGGCCGUGACCUUCAGGUGACCCCGGCCUGGCCGGCCUCAGCUCUUUCUGGGCGGGAACGCUCAGGUGAGAAGAAAAAGCGGCGGGAAGCGAUAAAGGCGGGAAGCGACAGCGGCGUUCUGGGCUCCUAUUGGCUGGCGGGCAGCCGGGAAAUCUAUAUAAGGUGCGUGGACAAACAGGUGAGAGACGUGAUUACCUCAGCGCGUCAGAAGAAACGGGAUGCUGUGAGGGAGAGGCGGCAACGGCGACGCCAGCAAGCGGUCUCUAGAGCUGAGGAGCUGCUGCAGAAGAAAGAAGAAGCAGCGGCGUGGGGACCUGGGCGGCAGGAGCGAGCAAGGAGAGGAUGCGGAAGCGUGCAGAUGCGGGGGGGAAGGAGAGAGGCUCCCUGGGCAAAGCACCUGUCCCGUUAGCGGGGCCGCAGUCACAUUUGAGUUGAGCGUUGCCGGCGCCUUUGGCGACCCGGCCGGCUUUGUGCUGGGCGACCUCCCUGUAAGCAGGGCUCGGGUCUUUGCUGUAGUUGGCCUUUUGCCUUGCUGCUCCUAGGGCUGCCUGGGGAGCGUGGCCCCCUGUAACGGAGGGCGAGAGCCACCUCUCCGCACCUGAGUGGGAAAUGGAGCUCGCCGGACCCCGAGGCCACCCUGUAAGCAGGGUAGUGCCGCUUCCCUGCCCCUCUUUGUCCUCCGGCCCCUCGGCAUCGUUGCCUGGUGGUGGCCUGUCAAUGCGACGGCCCCGUACUCGGGGUGCGCGCCACGGCAUUUGGCCUUUGGCUUUACCCGAGGAGCCCCUUGGCACGUUGAGGUCUGUGGCCUCCGUGCAGCCUAGGGACAGGUCACAGGCUCUUGUCUGUUGCUUGUGGUUGUGGGUUUAUUCCCAGGUGUUGGCUGCGCUGGGUUGUCCUUCCCUUCUGGAAAGUCGCGCCUGCGUGUGUGCGUUCCCCUUCCUUUCCUUGUUUGCGUUUGUGGAGUGACUGAGCGACUGAGCGACUGAGCUUUCCCUUUAGGCCUCCCCAGAGACGGCUGCAGCUUAGCUUUGACUUCCCGGGGGGGAACGGAGGACUUUGGUGCAUGCCGCAAGAGGGGUGUUCCCUGCUAGUCCCGCGAGCGCAGCGAGUGUCCUGUCUUCCUCCUUUUUACUUAGUCCAGAUCAGAGCCACGCGGUAGUUGUGUGGCCGAGGCCGCCCUGUAGCCAGGGCUUGGGCCUGUCCUUGCGUGGCCGCCUGUUCUGCUGGCGGCGUGGCAGCCCUGUAGUCGGGGUGUGUGUCCCAAGCUUAGGAGCCCUCUGUCCCUUGAGCAGCCCGCCCGCCCGCCCUGUACUCAGGUGUGGGGAGGCUGCAGCGUUGCAGCCGGCUGCUUUAGCCAUCCAGCUGGUGGGAAUGACCCCUCCCUGUCCCGUCAGAGGGUGCAGGUUGAGGUGCUGCUUGCGUGUGGGGUGACCUCCCCGCUCGGUGGGUCGAGGCUGCUCCCUGGGUUCCCCAAGAGAAGACGUUGGUGAUGUUCUGCUGCUGCCGGGCGGGCCCGCCUGUAGCUCAGGCGUUGGCGGGAGCCUCGUGCUCCGCGGGGCUUCUUGGAGAGGGUGAGGUGCGGGGGUACGGUCCUGUAGGCAGGGCUGUGUGUGCCCCCCGUGUGUGCUUGCUGAGCUGUGUUCCGAGAGACCCCCCCCCCCCCCCCCCCGGACUCGGGUGGGAAUGUGGCCCCGGCCUUUCAGAGGCACGGGGCUGCGAGGUGUGGGCUUGGGCUUGCGCCCUCCCUGGAAGUUGAGGCUGGGAUCCCGACUGCGGCCUUUGGCCGUGCCGCCCCGCUGCCUGGCUGCUGAGAGUUGUUCCUGCCGCUGGGGGGGAAACCGAGCUCUGUGGCUCCAGGGGUGUCGUCCACCCGCCUGUAAUCAGGGUCUGGGUGCGCGAGCGUUUGUGCUCUGCUGGCAGCCUGUGUGGGGUGACCGCCCCGUUAGCGGGGUGUGGGUCGAGGUGCCCCGGACUGGGAGAGAAGGAGCCUCUCCCGGCCGUAGGGAUGGGGGCUGCCCUGUAAGUCAGGGAGCAACCGUGCCCCGGAGUCCCAGGCCCUUUGCGUUGGAGGCAGUGGCUGGGGGCCCCCUGUAAGCAGGGAAGCUGGCUCUUUGGCCGCUGCUUUUUGUACGCCCAGCCCCAUUUGCCCAGCCUGCCCGCCUCUGUGAUCCCCCGCAGCACCGGCUGGAAGUCCGCCGCGCGUCAGUGAGGAGCUGCUGCAGAAGAAAGAAGAAGCAGCAGCGUGGGGACCUGGGCUUCAAAUCAAGUUAGCAAUCUGUUUGUGUGUUUAUCUCAUUAUCAUUUUAUUUGGAGCCUCAGUUUGAAUGGUUUUUUAUGACUUUAUCAGCCUUUUUCGCAGCACAAUCAGCUGAGAAUAUAUUUUUUAUGUUGUUCUUCCUGUUA
RNA transcript from Gallus gallus (chicken), 4803 nucleotides. RefSeq lists it as uncharacterized. The transcript is spliced from 4 exons. Lineage: Eukaryota; Metazoa; Chordata; Aves; Galliformes; Phasianidae. The record is from RefSeq and is a predicted model, not a curated record.